Corvus hawaiiensis (hawaiian crow) is the source of this 5930-nucleotide long non-coding RNA. RefSeq lists it as uncharacterized. The record is from RefSeq and is a predicted model, not a curated record. NCBI's taxonomy places the organism in Eukaryota, Metazoa, Chordata, Aves, Passeriformes, Corvidae. The transcript has 9 exons.
GCGCGGAAGGCGGGAGGCUGCGCUGGGCAGGCGCUUCCUCUUCCUUUCCUUUUUCCUCCCCUUUCGCUGUGCCUUCAUUCCCUUCCCACACUGUGGGGGCAGAGCUGGCUCCCCGCGGCCGCUCCCGCCCCACACGGGCAGGACGAAGCUGCGGUGCUCGGCCCGGCCCGGCCAUGAGAGUCGCGGCGCUGCCGUUGGCUGCCUUCGCCCGCUCCCCGCGUCCUGCGGGACGGGGGAAGCUGAGGGGGUUUGGUGGCUUCCAGCGGCACCUCGCCGGCACUUUGCCUUCGCUGACGUAACGCCAGCGAUGGCUGCCAGCCGCAGACUCGUCCCUUCCACCUCACAAGAGCUCUUGCUAACCGGGGCAAGUUCAAAACACAGGCUGAGAUCUCGGUCACAAGACCUCAAGGAUACAGGAGGCAGCUCCCCCUAAAGCAACUUCAUUUUAUUUACAAAAUACCCGCUAGCCUGUUCAUGCGGAAAGGGCCUUGAAUCAGCCACUGCAGGGAAACUGUGCUGUAUGGAAAAAAAAAUCUGGAGGAGGCUUGGCAGAUACCAAGGUGAUUUAGCUGCCUUCACAACAGCAGUGGCUGAAUCUCAAGCUACCACAAUGCAGAGGAUACUGAAGAUUGUCCUCCCCACUGUGUCGCCAGUGUCACCACGCUGUUGGAGUCUGUGGGCUGUCACCCCUCCUCUGAGAUGGGUUUCAAACACAGGGUAAAGGUGCCACAGACAGGUCCAAGAAACGAAAGAUUCCUUUGAAAUGCACCCAGGAUUUUGUUAGGAGGAUUUAGAGGAGUCUUGGAGUAGCUCAAUUUGCCGUGGUGGUGAAGUAUAUGGGCAUCCCUGAAUUUAAGACUGGCUUGACAGACCUGGGAGGAAGCAUAUUUCUAGGUGUAGUGGAUACUGGAGACUUCACUAUUCACUUCAAAGAACACGUGAUCAAGUUCGUAUUGGCACAAGCAGGGCAGGGCUGGAUUUCUCUUCAGUGUGCUUCUCUGCCAAACUCUGUCUAUUAAAAUACAUGAGUGUGUGUUUGAAACAUCAUUUUCCAGCUUUGAAAAAAGAGAUGGUAUUCAAAGACAAACAUUAUUUGCUUAUUUGGAUACUUGCUUUGGUUUGUGGCAAACAUCUGUCAUGAAAUCAGGAAUCUCUAGAGAGGCCUUGCCUGCUCCCACAGAAAUUUUUACAGUCCAAAAUACUGACACAUGGGUGGAAGAGAGAAAGAAUACAACAGUGGGCAGGGCAUUCCCACCAGUGUAACCUCAAAUUGCUCUGACUCUUCCCAGGAUGUGAUGCCUUCCAAAUGAAGACUCAACACAGAAAAUUGUUGCUUGCUCAAGGAGCAGUGAAGACCGAAGUAUCCUCCAGCCACUAAACAGUUCUGGAUUAGAUAAGGCAAUGGAUUUCAUGGAAUAACCCUCAUACAAUGGAAGGAUACUUACAUUGUUGUGCAGUAUGGCAAAGCAGCCUGCAUGGGAGCUGUUUUGGUCAUAAGCCCACAUCACUGUACCAGGAUAGCUUGGCAGCCUGUCCGUGAGUCUUCCCAGAAGCUUUGCAAGUCAGUAAUGCUGUGCAUUGGCAGAACUUUGAGGAAAAAUUAGGCUGUCUUUUGGAAUCGUGCUUGCCUCUAGCAAGUGGUAUUGUUUUCUGUCGUGUACCAGGACUCUUCUGCAGACAAAUGAACAAAAAAAUAAAGCAGAUUUGGAGCACUGCUUUCAAUGAAAGGCCAGACUCUGCCUGGAUUUUUUGCAUCAGGUGGUAUAAGAGCUACCAAGAGUAUUGUGUACCCUUCGCAUAGCAAGUAAGCAAGAAAAAAUGUAUUAAUUUCUCCAGCUAUGUGUGUACACCUGGGGACAAGUGUUGCCAGGAGGGGAAUGGACAAGAGAACCAAGAUGAUUUCAUUGCCCAUUAAAUCCCUACAAGACACAGAAAGGAGAAUCUGUAAUGCCUUCUAUUCAGGUGGCAGGUCUUAGGAGUCUCUUCUCAUUUCAGUGCAGCUGGUUUGGUUUUGGUUUUGUUUUUUUCAUUAAAAUCCUGCUGUUCUUGAAAAAUUCAGUUAAUUGAGAUUUUCUUGAGCAACUGUUUUAGAAAAGAAAACAAAGUAGUGAGCUUCAAAAACAUAAAGACUGGAAUUUAAACUAACCCAGUAUUUAUUAUUAUUUUGAGGUCUUUCAGACAUCUUACUCUAGUUUCUAGGUCUAUAUCACACUUUCACACACAUUCUCAUACCAACUAUCUCUGGAAGUGCAGGUCUUCAUAAAAGCACUACUUUUGCCCGAAAACUCCAUGAAGUACUAUAGUGUUUUACCACUGCAAUGCCAAGGGGGUUUGGGUUGGGGGUUUUUUGAGCAUAAUAUUAAUUAAAUACUUAAGAAAGGUCUGAUACUGCAAACUUCAUCCCAAAAGAUUAUAUGGGGAAUUAUUAGGCAGUGAUUAUUCACAUAACUAAAAACUGUUAAUGUAAAAACAUUUUUACAGUAAUAAAAUCAUAUACCAUAAAUAUUGUAAAUUAUUUGGCAUAUAGGGAGUUCUGAAUUAAAACUGGGAUUUGUUAAUAGAAUACAGUUAUUAUCACUGCUGAGCCUUCUUACAAUGUCUUUUGUAAAUUUUCCCUCCUCCUGAUUUUUCCUUCUUUCAGAAGCUGUGAUCCUGGAAUAGAUGGUUUUGAAACUGAAUUUUAAAUUUCAGGCUUGUAUAAACUAAGUGGUAGAGCCAUUUCAGAAGCUUUGAAUUCACUUUGGGUUGUUCUGUGCUCCAAAAAUUCAUUCAUUUAGUGCUUUGAAGUACAACUGGGAUCAGAGAACACAUUGUCACUGUUAAUAAAAUUGUGUAACCUCAACAUUAUCCAUCCAGUUUUGAAAUAGAGGAGGGGUGGUGCCUGUAUUACUUCACAUAAUCAAAAGAAUAGUUGUUGGUUAAUAAUUGAAAGUUGCAUUCCAUAUAUACGAAACAGUGGAAAUUUCAAAGAUUUCAAAGAUACUUUUAAUAUAUGUAGGAGUAUUGUUUGUCCAUGUGCUGGUAGAAUUAUUGGGAAUUCAAACCUGUGCUGGUGUACCAGAGUUCACUUUUUGUUGUAGUCACGAGACAUUUUUUAUGGAUGACAAUCUUUGCAGUUUUUUUUUUUUAGCUAGUUAUUACUGUGUUGAGCAGCUUGGGAUUUAAGAAAACAUUUUGUUUAAUGUACAUUGAAUCUGUUUUCAUUUUCAAAAGGCUGAUGGCCCCUUGCAUAGCGUAUUAUAGUCUUGAUAAACUGAAUGAAAUUGAAGUAUGAACUGCUCUCUGAGCUGGCCUUACUACUCCAGUGGCUCACUACUUAAGCAUCCAGAAAUUUUGAGUUAAGGUUGCAUAAAAAGGAGAAAAACAAUGUUGGCAGUCCUACAAUAAUGAAUAAAACUGGCACUGGCAAAAUUUCUUCCUUCAGGAAAUAAGGACUCCUGAGGCAGGCGGAGAGUCUCUAAUGUGGGAAUUUAAAUCUUUAGAAGAUAUUUUUAACUGGUAUUUCAUUAACGAUGUCUCAUGAGGGAGGGGAGAAAUAAGGAUAUCUACUUUUAAAAGAGCUGCAGUGGAUCACUCCUCAUUCAUUCCCUCUGGGAGAUGCACAGGGACCUGUGGUGUCUUCGUGAAACGAACAUUGGCACAAGCAGGCACAAAGCCCCAGAAACCACCAUGAGCCCAUGGAAGAUUAGGUGAAGGCCUGGACACCUGCAGUGGUCACAACACGUUGCCAAACAGCUUCUGGGUUGUUUGGAUUUCAUAAUUUCUACCCAGAAAACUCAGCUGAAGCCUGCACAGCUCUCCCAUCCAGGUGACAAGGAAAAAUUCUGCCUUCCUCUUUGUGUCAGCUCUGACAGUCACAGAGUGUACUCCUGACCCAAGAAAAGCCUUUUCAGCCGGAGCACUCACACCUAACUAGUGCUUAUCCUCUGCAAAUGCUUAGAAACAAGGAGGAACAGAAGGCCAUGGAGGUGUGUGUUUCAAUGCUGGACUUUCUAAAUGAAUCUAAAUGACACGGGGCCUCCUUCCACUGAGUUACUUAGGUACUUUGAAACAAAACACUCCCCUCCAAACGGUAUCAGUAGUCCACAGUACCUACAGGUGUAACAGGAGUUUCCACAUUAACCCCUCAGUUGCCUACCAGCACAAAUGUACCUGCCAAGAGAAAAUUAGGACAAGGAAGUGUUUGCUGUUUUCCAGGUGACAAAAAAAAUCCUGUGAGGGAUUUUUCAGGGAUUCUCAGACACAGUCAUAUUUAACCUCUGAUAGAAAUGUUCAUCAGAGUGUUUAAAGCUUGCUGAUACAUCUAAUGUUGUUUUACUGUGCUUUGUGGGCACUUAAAAACUUUUUUGUGGCCAAAGUAAUCCUUAGGAGUCACUGACGGAGGAGGUUCAGGGCUUCAGCUUGCACUGGCUCUGGCCAGCCCUCAGUCCUAACACUGAAGAAAUGUGCAGUGGAUGAGGAAACCUUUAACUGAAACAGCUCCCAAAGAAGGGAGUUUGUAAGGAAAUAAGGACAAAUAAUGGAUCUGCAGAGGGAUGAUGUGCUUCACAAAAGCAACUGAAGGAGUUUCAAAGAGAUUUGAGAGUUUGAUUACACGCUGAUGAUACUCCUGUUGCAAGGUGAGUGGAAGUCUAGCUUGAUCUAAUUAGCUAAAACUGGAACAUGAGGACAGAACUGACAGUGCUGGGAUGUUUUGGGAGGUGCUGUCAUUUAGCAAAUGUGACCAACUCAAAACUCCAGUGAGAGAACAGUAUGAUAAGAGAGGUUAAUGAGCCCAAAGUCACCCCUCCUUUUCUAAAUCUAAAUUAAAAUCUGUUUCUGAAAGUCGGUUGAAACUGUGCAUAUGUAUCAGUGGAGCACUGGAUUCAUAAUUUUGCCUGUUAGUAGAGGAUUGGCAUCAUUCAAAUUUACAACUGUAUUUGGAUUGUUUUGGUUAUCAAACUAUAAGAAGGUGCAUGGUGAAACAUGGGAAAAUUACUAGAAAUAUAUCCUAAAAAAAAACUGGAAAUACGAUGUUGAGACUUGUCAGUGGAUCACAAUUUGGGGUGAUGUACACCAAUUUAAGUUUGCGGAUGAAGUAUGGAUUGAAUGAGCAUACAUUUAAUGCUUUUUUUUUGGUUAAGCCAUUUUAGAGUUUGUAUGGUUAAGUAAUCAACAAGAAUGUUUAUCAACAUUUACUGUCUAUUUAUAUGUUAAUAAAACAUGUAGAAAUAAUUCUGUAGGAUGAUAUUUUUUAGGAGCUUGAUUAAUAUUUCUAAAAUUAGUAAGCAGCUCUUGAGAGCUAUAAUUUACUACCAUUGACACCCACCUAUCUCUUCCGCAGCCCUAAAUUAUAUGGCUCAUUACUUACAAGACUGAGCAUUGGUGGUGUUGUGGUACUAACUCCAAUGUUAGGUUUUAGUACUUCUGUACAAUAAGUCUCUCUUCUCCAAUUAAUUAAUUCAAAUUCUGACUUCACAUCCUAACAAUCUUUAUUACAAGGACUGGUCCUAAAUAAAGGCUAAGAUCAAGCAGACACGUGUUGAAAAUACUGGAACAAGUAGUGAGAAAAAAUAGCAGAGUACAUGUAGUUGUGCAAGUAAAUAAAGAAAUUCUUUGUUAUUUUUGGCAAGAGGUGGAGAAGCAUGUGAUGUCCAGUUGUAGCUGUAGCCAAGGAUUUAUCUUGGGGUUAAAUACUUUAUAGGCAAACAGUAAUUCCUUUUUCGCCCCACAUCAGCUGAACACUAUUUUGGGUCAAGAAUGCUGUUUGCAGAAGUUGACCAGUCCUACAACCAACCACUAAUAUUUAAGUGAUGUAUAAUAUUAGGGACAUGUUGUAACUGAGGGUGUAUCCUGUUAUUUUGUGAAGAGUUGAGCAAGGCAAAAUGCUGAACUGUAACGCUGGAUGCAAACUGGUCAAUACAUUUGCUCCGUCCUGUUACCUCUAUAGU